UCAGGAUGAACGCUGGGGGCGUGCCUAACACAUGCAAGUCGAACGGAGUUUAUGAGGAAGAAGCUUCGGCAGAAUUCUUAUAAACUUAGUGGCGGACGGGUGAGUAACACGUGGAGAACCUGCCUCUUACCGGGGGACAGCAGUUGGAAACGACUGAUAAUACCGCAUAAGCGCACGAGGCCGCAUGGUCUGGUGUGAAAAGAUUUAUCGGUAAGAGAUGGCUCCGCGUCUGAUUAGCCAGUUGGCGGGGUAACGGCCCACCAAAGCGACGAUCAGUAGCCGGCCUGAGAGGGUGAACGGCCACAUUGGGACUGAGACACGGCCCAGACUCCUACGGGAGGCAGCAGUGGGGGAUAUUGCACAAUGGAGGAAACUCUGAUGCAGCGACGCCGCGUGAGUGAAGAAGUAUUUCGGUAUGUAAAGCUCUAUCAGCAGGGAAGAAAGACCUCGAAAGAGGGGAUGACGGUACCUGAGUAAGAAGCCCCGGCUAACUACGUGCCAGCAGCCGCGGUAAUACGUAGGGGGCGAGCGUUAUCCGGAUUUACUGGGUGUAAAGGGAGCGCAGACGGAAGAGCAAGUCUGAUGUGAAAACCCGGGGCUCAACCCCGGGCCUGCAUUGGAAACUGUUUUUCUGGAGUACUGGAAGGGCAGGCGGAAUUCCUGGUGUAGCGGUGAAAUGCUUAGAUAUCAGGAGGAACACCGGUGGCGAAGGCGGCCUGCUGGACAGUAACUGACGUUGAGGCUCGAAAGCGUGGGGAGCAAACAGGAUUAGAUACCCUGGUAGUCCACGCCGUAAACGAUGA
Molecule: ribosomal RNA, 803 nt
Filed under: uncultured bacterium
Lineage: Bacteria
Description: bacterial SSU rRNA
Rfam family: Bacterial small subunit ribosomal RNA
Source: RNAcentral